CGUUGACUCGAUCCUGGUUCGAUUCGUGUUUAGUGUGUGUUAUUAAUUUGUUUUUUUUUUAAAGAAAAAGAAAAGUGUAUAUAUGUAAUCUUAUGCAUGAAAACCCAUGCAAUUCCUUUCCUUAUUUUAUCGUGGCCCAUUCUUUUCUAAAAGAUGAAAAGCCCACACUUUUAAUUACAUGAAUAAGCCAUAUUCAUGUGCUUGAAUUUUGCAGCAGAAGCCUUCAUUCCUUCCUCUCCUAUUUAAACGUGCUUCAUCUACUGCAUUACGUUUCUAUUUUUUUUCUUAACCUAAUAUUUCAUAUCAUUUUGAAACACAACCUCAGCCGCCGCACUCUUUAACAAUCUGAAACUUCAUUAAAUUACAUUCCAACUCCAUUCGAUUCAAGCUCGCUAUAAUCUGAAUUUUCUUCAACGAUUCACAUCAACUGAGCGAUCUCUAUAAUCGUUACGCUUCGGAAUCAUAUACGACCCGUCGACUGUUCGUACUUCAGUGGCGAACCAGAGUUAGGUGCUUGUCAGGAUCACGUGGAUUUAGCAAGCAGUGAGUUUAUAUCUCUAUUUACCUCUUUAUUAAGCAAUUAUUAUAUUUUGUAUAUAUAUAUAUGUAUAAGCAGCUUUUGAACUGUUUUCGGCAUUGUGGAUUUGAUUUGGAACGUGCUACUCGAUGGGCAUCAUCGGGACUGCGUGCGCACCGGUAAUGAUUAUGGUAUUGAGGUAGGUUUGAGAUACGUCUCACCUUAGUGAGGGCACUGGUGGAAGAUACGUCUCCUGGGCUCACUAUUUAUUAAGUGAUAGUCGGGGAUCGGUUAUUGAGAUACGUCUCACCGACACGACAAUAGAUUUAGAAUUGUGGUUUAGGGUUUCAUUGAUAAUCCAUAAUGAAAAUGUUUUAUUAAACGUUUUAAAGGUUUUUUAACUUAAUAAAUGUAAAUGGUUAUAUAAACUCUACUCAGUAAAUCUGACCCCGUUGUUUUCCCAAAUUUUCCAGGUUUAUGAUUUGAGCUUUGGUCGAUCUCCGUUUCUUCAUUCUCGGAGGUUUUUAUUUUAUUUUCAGAAUAGAAGAGUCGAACUGUUUUAAACUCUUAGACCGCAGUAGUAGUAUUAGAUUAUUUAUGAUUAGUUUUUUAUUAUAUUUUAGACUGUUGAUUGUUGGUGAUUACCUUAUCGUUUUUGGGCAUGAUUACAGUAAUUAUGGUAUUUAUA
Mercurialis annua (annual mercury) is the source of this 1205-nucleotide long non-coding RNA. RefSeq lists it as uncharacterized. The transcript is spliced from 3 exons. NCBI's taxonomy places the organism in Eukaryota, Viridiplantae, Streptophyta, Magnoliopsida, Malpighiales, Euphorbiaceae. The record is from RefSeq and is a predicted model, not a curated record.